GGGGCUGAUUCUGGAUUCGACGGGAUUUGCGAAGCCCAAGGAGCAUGCCGAGGGGCGGUUUGCCUCGUAAAAAGCCGCAAAAAAAUAGUUGCAAACGACGAAAACUACGCACUAGCAGCUUAAUAACCUGCUCAGAGCCCUCUCUCCCUAGCCUCCGCUCUUAGGACGGGGAUCAAGAGAGGUCAAACCUAAAAGAGAUCGCGCAGACACUUUGCCUGGAGUGAAAGCGUUAAACCCAAUCAGGAUAGUUUGUUAGUGGCGUGUCUGUCCGCAGCUAACCGGCGAAUGUAAAGACUAGACUAAGCAUGUAGUGCCGACGGUGUAGUAAUUUCGGACGGGGGUUCAAAUCCCCCCAGCUCCACCA
RNAcentral lists this transfer-messenger RNA (364 nucleotides) under Enterobacteriaceae (enterobacteria). RNAcentral describes it as "Ewingella sp003864575 Standard tmRNA". It matches the Rfam family "transfer-messenger RNA". From Rfam's summary of the family: Bacterial tmRNA, also known as 10Sa RNA or SsrA, is named for its dual tRNA and mRNA-like properties. RNAcentral also lists the same sequence under 1 other name. Lineage: Bacteria; Pseudomonadati; Pseudomonadota; Gammaproteobacteria; Enterobacterales. The record is from RNAcentral.